AAAAAGAAUAGAUUUGCCGUAGACAGUAGGUGCCGAAAGGCUUAAAAUCCUACCGAGGUUUUAGAUAAAUUGAAAUUACUAAAGCUUUUGUUGUCUACUUUUGACUCAAAAGCUUUUUUA
Molecule: small RNA, 120 nt
Filed under: uncultured Romboutsia sp.
Lineage: Bacteria; Bacillati; Bacillota; Clostridia; Peptostreptococcales; Peptostreptococcaceae
Description: Ribosomal protein L10 leader
Rfam family: Ribosomal protein L10 leader
About the family: This family is a putative r-protein leader autoregulatory structure found in B. subtilis and other low-GC Gram-positive bacteria. It is located in the 5' untranslated regions of mRNAs encoding ribosomal proteins L10 and L12 (rplJ-rplL).
Source: RNAcentral